AGUUUUAAUAGUUUAAUUAAAAUUUUGGUCUUGUAAACCAAAGAUGAAUUUUUUCUUAAAAC
RNAcentral lists this transfer RNA (62 nucleotides) under Cherax robustus. RNAcentral describes it as "tRNA-Thr". It matches the Rfam family "tRNA". From Rfam's summary of the family: Transfer RNA (tRNA) molecules are approximately 80 nucleotides in length. Their secondary structure includes four short double-helical elements and three loops (D, anti-codon, and T loops). The record is from RNAcentral. Lineage: Eukaryota; Metazoa; Arthropoda; Malacostraca; Decapoda; Parastacidae.